Molecule: ribosomal RNA, 468 nt
Filed under: uncultured bacterium
Lineage: Bacteria
Description: bacterial SSU rRNA
Rfam family: Bacterial small subunit ribosomal RNA
Source: RNAcentral
UAGAGUUUGAUCCUGGCUCAGAUUGAACGCUGGCGGCAUGCUUUACACAUGCAAGUCGAACGGCAGCACGAGUGCUUGCACUUGGUGGCGAGUGGCGAACGGGUGAGUAAUGCAUCGGAACGUAUCCUAAAGUGGGGGAUAACGCAUUGAAAGAUGUGCUAAUACCGCAUAAUCUUCGAGAAGAAAAGCAGGGGAUCGUAAGACCUUGUGCUUUAGGAGUGGCCGAUGUCUGAUUAGCUAGUUGGUAAGGUAAAAGCUUACCAAGGCGACGAUCAGUAGCUGGUCUGAGAGGACGAUCAGCCACACUGGGACUGAGACACGGCCCAGACUCCUACGGGAGGCAGCAGUGGGGAAUUUUGGACAAUGGGCGAAAGCCUGAUCCAGCAAUGCCGCGUGAGUGAAGAAGGCCUUCGGGUUGUAAAGCUCUUUCAAUCGAGAAGAAAAGGCUGGGCAUAAUAAGCAUAGUUA